GACGAACGCUGGCGGCGUGCCUAAUACAUGCAAGUCGAACGCAUUUUCUUUCACCGUAGCUUGCUACACCGAAAGAAAAUGAGUGGCGAACGGGUGAGUAACACGUGGGUAACCUGCCCAUCAGCGGGGGAUAACACUUGGAAACAGGUGCUAAUACCGCAUAAUUCCAUUUACUGCAUGGUAGAUGGAUGAAAGGCGCUUUUGCGUCACUGAUGGAUGGACCCGCGGUGCAUUAGCUAGUUGGUGGGGUAACGGCCUACCAAGGCUGCGAUGCAUAGCCGACCUGGGAGGGUGAUCGGCCACACUGGGACUGAGACACGGCCCAGACUCCUACGGGAGGCAGCAGUAGGGAAUCUUCGGCAAUGGACGCAAGUCUGACCGAGCAACGCCGCGUGAGUGAAGAAGGUUUUCGGAUCGUAAAACUCUGUUGUUAGAAAGGAACAAGGAUGAGAGUGGAAAGUUCAUCCCUUGACGGUAUCUAACCAGAAAGCCACGGCUAACUACGUG
This 507-nucleotide ribosomal RNA is filed under the name uncultured bacterium. RNAcentral describes it as "partial 16S ribosomal RNA". It matches the Rfam family "Bacterial small subunit ribosomal RNA", at positions 28 to 507 of the family's 1533-position model. The record is from RNAcentral.